AGAGAGAGCCAGCUUGUGCUGCCUUACAGAGACGUGUGUCCCCAGCACAGUGCUUUAGAAACAAGCAGCACUCUUUUGAACCGCUGCCAAUGGAGGCUGGCCCAAGCUGUUGCAGCUGAAACUUUUACAAGCUCACUGCUCGCAAGCAGGAAGAGAGAGACACAGAGAAAUAUUUGUAAAGGGAAUCUGCAUGCGCAGCUCCUCUAUUCUCCAGUUCUUGUCUGCGCUCGUUCCUGAAAUAUUGGCAAGCUUAUUUCUUUGUUGAUCAUUGUUAGUGUUUAUUAAAAGGGGAAUUCUUAUAAGGAAACAGAACUAUUUUUUGGGAGGAGUGUGCAUGAAGGUUGAAAUGCAAGGUACAUUUGAAGGACAGAAAUAAAUGAGAAAAUAACAAAAGAAUAGAUGACGUCACAGAGAGAGCUGCCCGGGAUUAUGCCUGAGAAAAGAUGAUGAUGACAGUUUUUGACUGCAGCACUUGUCUAUGUGACAUACGUGUCUAUGUCUCUCUCUCUCUCUCUCUCUCUCUCUCUCUCUCUCUCUCUCUCUCUCUCUGGUGGACAGACGGAGGCGGAAGGGGGUGAAAUACACUUUUUGGCACAGUGACUGGAUUAUUUUGGUGACUUUAACUUAUUUUGGCACAGAGUCCUGCGGAACUCUGUCAUUCGGGUUUAUCUUACUACUACCGUCUGUUUCCAGAAGUUGACCCUUUCCUCACCCUCUGUUUUGCUUUUUCGCAGCACAGCUUGUUGCUGGGGUAUCAUUCCUGCAAACCACAUUUAACGUACACAUACAGAAACGCCCAUCUGUAACGUUGACAAAAAAGGACACUUUUUUUAACUCACAGGUUGCUUUCUUUCUUUUCUUUUCUUUCAUCUCAUUGCGACCGGGCAAUUUUACCAUCUUAUCUGAAAGCGUGAAAGCGGUUCAAAUCAAAACAAAAAACACAGGCAGGUGCAGAACAGCUAAAGACGUCUGUAAUGACUACUGGAAAUGGGAACCGUGAGGCAUGUACUACCUGGGACUGAUGCCAACUGCUGACAAAAGGCUUCACUGCACGCUCUGAGAGAAGUCUUUAACUCGUUCUUUCUUCCCCCCCAAAUGCAUCAGAAAUCUACGGGAUUGAGUUGUUUUGAUGUCAUAAGUCUGGCAACACUUUUUGCCAACCGAUCUGGGCCAAAGUGGGCAGGGAGAGAGGAGGGCACGGCCGAGACUGCUCUCAAGCCCCAGCCCUUGUUCGAGUGGGGUUGCUCGCCAGCACGCUGCUCAGCCUUUCCCUCAUCUUGCAGACGAAAGAGAGGGACGUGGAAAUGCGCUCUCCUCUCUUUUCUUCCCCGCCCUUUUUUCACCACCACCAUGGCCUGUUCACUUCGGGUCAUCUCUGCGGAGAUCCCUGCUCUGUCCUUUACAAAAUCUACUUCCAGUUCCCUAGUAAGAACUGCUAAACCUCAUCUCUGGGUCGACGCCAGACUAAGCACCUGUCCUUGAGGCUGAGGUAGUAGAUUGAAUAGUUGUGGGGUAUAUGUCCUCCCUCUGAGAUAACUAUACAAUCUACUGUCUUUCCUAAAAGAGACAGACUGAUCGUCAAUAACCCUGAAGAGUGACCGUUCUCCCCUGACCGUCGCACCCAUCUUCCCAGCCUGGACACCUGCCUGCAGCCUGUCUCUGCUCUGUGGGGAAGUUACCCCAUUAUAGCAUAUCACCUCCAUUUACACCCAUUCACAGACUGUUGCAGGACAAAAUGAGAACGGGUAACAUUUCCUUUGUUAGACCACCCAAUGCUUUAUUUGGGUUAUUGGGGCCUGUUGUGUUUGAGUGAAAGUGUACUUUAGGGUGAGUGUGUUUGUGUUGUCGCCUCUCGCUGUAUCUGUUUGAGUGUGUCUGAAUGACAUUCCCCCUUCAUCCGUCAGUCUUUCAGUCGAAUGUGUCCUGGCGAGGUGAGGUAGUAGGUUGUAUAGUUUGUGGGAGGGAUUUAAUCCUAUUCAGGUGAUAACUAUACAGUCUAUUGCCUUCCUUGAGAGGCACAAUGACAGUCUGCAGCAACGAGGAAGUCCACUGCUCUCUGAAUUCCUCAAUGCGUUGGAUGCAAUCUCACUAUGAUAAAGCAACAGCUGGAGCACAAAUGGGUUUAUAGCCUCUCCGGCGCCACUUGGUGGCCAAGGAGCAGCAGGACUCCAGAGACCUUCUUGUAGGUUCAGGAUUCAGAGCUUCUCAAGAAUGAAAGGAUAUGAAAAGCACUCAACAGAGAAUGCAUCAGUGUUACAAAAUCUAAACAAUAUAAAGGGUUGGUUCUCCCGAACCAAAUCAAGCCCUAAAUAAAUGCGUAUAGGCUUGUGAUGUGUUUUAUGGUAACAUUAUUCAAUGUUGUAUUAAUUAAUAAAGGUUACAUAUAGCUAUUAAACUUG
Oncorhynchus kisutch (coho salmon) is the source of this 2399-nucleotide long non-coding RNA. RefSeq lists it as uncharacterized. The transcript is spliced from 3 exons. Lineage: Eukaryota; Metazoa; Chordata; Actinopteri; Salmoniformes; Salmonidae. The record is from RefSeq and is a predicted model, not a curated record.